This is a non-coding RNA of Salmo salar (Atlantic salmon), 70 nucleotides long. The record is from Rfam. Lineage: Eukaryota; Metazoa; Chordata; Actinopteri; Salmoniformes; Salmonidae.
UCCCGUGUGGCUCAGUUGGUAGAGCAUGGUGUUUGCAAUGCCAGGGUUGUGGGUUCGAUUCCCACGGGAG